GAUGGGAACUUUAAGGAUACUGCCAGUGACAAACUGGAGGAAGGCGGGGACGACGUCAAGUCAUCAUGGCCCUUACGGCCAGGGCUACACACGUGCUACAAUGGUCGGUACAAAGGGUUGNUACCUAGCGAUAGGAUGCUAAUCUCAAAAAGCCGAUCGUAGUCCGGAUUGGAGUCUGCAACUCGACUCCAUGAAGUCGGAAUCGNUAGUAAUCGCGGAUCAGAAUGCCGCGGUGAAUACGUUCCCGGGCCUUGUACACACCGCCCGUCACNCCAUGGGAGUUUGUUGCACCAGAAGUAGCUAGCCUAACUGCAAAGAGGGCGG
RNAcentral lists this ribosomal RNA (324 nucleotides) under Acinetobacter sp. 353M. RNAcentral's name for it is "bacterial SSU rRNA". It matches the Rfam family "Bacterial small subunit ribosomal RNA", at positions 1130 to 1453 of the family's 1533-position model. Lineage: Bacteria; Pseudomonadati; Pseudomonadota; Gammaproteobacteria; Moraxellales; Moraxellaceae. The record is from RNAcentral.